CUGACCCCAUCCCGAACUCAGAAGUGAAACCGCUUAGCGCCGAUGGUAGUGUGGGGUCUCCCCAUGUGAGAGUAGGUCAUCGUCAGGU
RNAcentral lists this ribosomal RNA (88 nucleotides) under Gammaproteobacteria bacterium. Lineage: Bacteria; Pseudomonadati; Pseudomonadota; Gammaproteobacteria. The record is from RNAcentral.